This 73-nucleotide transfer RNA is filed under the name Bos taurus (domestic cattle). It matches the Rfam family "tRNA". From Rfam's summary of the family: Transfer RNA (tRNA) molecules are approximately 80 nucleotides in length. Their secondary structure includes four short double-helical elements and three loops (D, anti-codon, and T loops). Lineage: Eukaryota; Metazoa; Chordata; Mammalia; Artiodactyla; Bovidae. The record is from Rfam by way of RNAcentral. RNAcentral also lists the same sequence under 5 other names.
UCCCCAGCAGUUCAGUGGUUAGAACUCUGUACUUCCACUGCAUAGGACACAGGUUCAAUCCCUGGUCAGGGAA